RNAcentral lists this ribosomal RNA (119 nucleotides) under Eisenbergiella tayi. RNAcentral's name for it is "partial 23S ribosomal RNA". It matches the Rfam family "Bacterial large subunit ribosomal RNA", at positions 2800 to 2925 of the family's 2925-position model. Lineage: Bacteria; Bacillati; Bacillota; Clostridia; Lachnospirales; Lachnospiraceae. The record is from RNAcentral.
CAAGAUGAGAUAUCCCAAUAAGUAAGACCCCUUAGAGAGUAUGAGGUAGAUAGGCUGGAGGUGGAAGUGCAGUAAUGUAUGUAGCUGACCAGUACUAAUCGGUCGAGGGCUUAUCCUGA